AGAGUUUGAUCCUGGCUCAGAACGAACGCUGGCGGCAGGCCUAACACAUGCAAGUCGAGCGCGCCUUCGGGUGAGCGGCGGACGGGUUAGUAACGCGUGGGAACGUGCCCUUCUCUACGGAAUAGCCUCUGGAAACGGAGAGUAAUACCGUAUACGCCCUUUGGGGGAAAGAUUUAUCGGAGAAGGAUCGGCCCGCGUUAGAUUAGGUAGUUGGUGGGGUAAUGGCCUACCAAGCCUACGAUCUAUAGCUGGUUUUAGAGGAUGAUCAGCAACACUGGGACUGAGACACGGCCCAGACUCCUACGGGAGGCAGCAGUGGGGAAUCUUAGACAAUGGGGGCAACCCUGAUCUAGCCAUGCCGCGUGAGUGAUGAAGGCCUUAGGGUCGUAAAGCUCUUUCGCCUGUGAUGAUAAUGACAGUAGCAGGUAAAGAAACCCCGGCUAACUCCGUGCCAGCAGCCGCGGUAAUACGGAGGGGGUUAGCGUUGUUCGGAAUUACUGGGCGUAAAGCGCGCGUAGGCGGAUUAGAAAGUUGGGGGUGAAAUCCCGGGGCUCAACCUCGGAACUGCCUCCAAAACUGCUAGUCUAGAGUUCGAGAGAGGUGAGUGGAAUUCCGAGUGUAGAGGUGAAAUUCGUAGAUAUUCGGAGGAACACCAGUGGCGAAGGCGGCUCACUGGCUCGAUACUGACGCUGAGGUGCGAAAGUGUGGGGAGCAAACAGGAUUAGAUACCCUGGUAGUCCACACCGUAAACGAUGAAUGCCAGUCGUCGGGUAGUAUACUAUUCGGUGACACACCUAACGGAUUAAGCAUUCCGCCUGGGGAGUACGGUCGCAAGAUUAAAACUUAAAGGAAUUGACGG
This 859-nucleotide ribosomal RNA is filed under the name uncultured marine bacterium. Its description in RNAcentral is "bacterial SSU rRNA". It matches the Rfam family "Bacterial small subunit ribosomal RNA", at positions 8 to 916 of the family's 1533-position model. The record is from RNAcentral.